Carlito syrichta (Philippine tarsier) is the source of this 1365-nucleotide RNA transcript. It is a transcript of the gene named eukaryotic initiation factor 4A-I pseudogene, with no coding region annotated. The transcript has a single exon. The record is from RefSeq and is a predicted model, not a curated record. NCBI's taxonomy places the organism in Eukaryota, Metazoa, Chordata, Mammalia, Primates, Tarsiidae.
UCUAAGGAUCAUGUCUGCGAGUCAGGAUUCCCGAUCCAGAGACAAUGGCCCCAAUGGAAUGGAACCCGAAGGCGUCAUCGAGAGUAACUGGAAUGAGACUGUUGACAGCUUUGAUGACAUGAACCUCUUGGAAUCCCUCCUCCGUGGCAUCUAUGCCAUGGUUUUGAGAAGCCCUCUGCCAUCCAGCAGCGAGCCAUUCUUCCUUGUAUCAAGGGUUACGAUGUGAUCGCUCCAGCCCAAUCUGGGACUGGGAAGAUGGCCACAUUUGCCAUGUCGAUUCUGCAGCAGAUUGAAUUAGAUCUAAAGGCUACCCAGGCCUUGGUUCUAGCACCUACUCGAGAACUGACUCAACAGAUACAGAAGGUGGUCAUGGCACUAGGAGACUACAUGGGUGCCUCCUGCCACGUCUGUAUUGGGGGCACCAGUGUGCAUGCUGAGGCACAGAAGCUGCAAAUGGAAGCGCCCCACAUCAUCCUGGGUACCCUGGCCGCGUGUUUGGCAUGCGUAACCAGAGAUACCUGUCUCCAAAGUACAUCAAGAUGUUUGUAAUGGACGAAGCCAAUGAGAUGUUAAGUUGUGGAUUCAAGGACCAGAUCUAUGAUGUAUUCCAGAAGCUCAACAGCAAAACCCAGGUAGUUUUACUGUCAGCUACAAUGCCUUCUGAUGUGCUUGAAGUGACUAAGAAGUUCAUGAGGGACCCCUUUCUGAUUCUUGUCAAGAAGGAAGCAAUGACCCUGGAGGGUAUCCACCAAUUCUGUAUCAACACAGAACGAGAGUGGAAGCUGGACACACUGUGUGACUUGCAUGAUACCCUGACCAUCACCCAGGUGGUCAUCUUCAUCCGUACCCGGAGGAAGGUUGAUUGGCUCGCUGAGAAGAUGCAUGCCCGAGACUUCACUGUCUCUGCCAGGCAUGGCGCUAUGAACCAAAAGGAACGAGAUGUGAUCAUGAGGGAGGUCUGCUCUGGUUCUAGCAGAGUACUGGUCACCACUGACCUGCUGGCCAGAGGCAUUGAUGUGUAGCAGGUUUCUCUAGUCAUCAAUUGUGACCUUCCUACCCACAGGGAAACUAUAUCCACAGAAUCGGUCGUGGUGGCCGGUUUGGCCGUAAGGGUGUGGCUAUGAACAUGGUGACAAAAGAAGACGAGGACUCUUCGAGACACCGAGACCUUCUACAGCACCUCCAUUGAGGAGACGCCCCUCAGUGUUGCUGACCUCACGUUAGAGGGGCUGUCUUGCCACCUAGCCCUAGCCAAGGCUCAGUCUUGAGGGCUGAGGAGCAGCCGGAGGUGGGAGGGAAGGGAGCCAAGGGAUGGACAUCUUGUCAUUUUUUUUUUCUUUGAAUAAAUGUCACUUUUUGAGGCAA